RNAcentral lists this ribosomal RNA (490 nucleotides) under uncultured bacterium. Its description in RNAcentral is "partial 16S ribosomal RNA". It matches the Rfam family "Bacterial small subunit ribosomal RNA", at positions 28 to 507 of the family's 1533-position model. The record is from RNAcentral.
GAUGAACGCUAGCUACAGGCUUAACACAUGCAAGUCGCGGGGCAGCAUGGGGGUUGCUUGCAAUCCCCGAUGGCGACCGGCGCACGGGUGAGUAACGCGUAUCCAACCUGCCCUUCACCACGGGAUAACCCGGCGAAAGUCGGACUAAUACCGUAUGUUGUCCGUUGACGGCAUCCGAUUUGGACGAAAGGUUUGGCGGGGAAGGAUGGGGAUGCGUCCGAUUAGCUGGACGGCGGGGUGACGGCCCACCGUGGCGACGAUCGGUAGGGGUUCUGAGAGGAAGGUCCCCCACACUGGAACUGAGACACGGUCCAGACUCCUACGGGAGGCAGCAGUGAGGAAUAUUGGUCAAUGGGCGUAAGCCUGAACCAGCCAAGUAGCGUGCAGGAUGACGGCCCUAUGGGUUGUAAACUGCUUUUAUGCGGGGAUAAAGUGGCCCACGUGUGGGUUUUUGCAGGUACCGCAUGAAUAAGGACCGGCUAAUUCCGUG